ACAGCUGAGUAUGACGUAGAAAUGCCACAGGGCUCCUCUUGUCUGUGCGACUCUUCCACUGGAUGGAGCGUCGAUAUUCUCGAACGACGAGUUGAUACUUACCUCUCGGUUCGACACUAGACCUACAUCCAGUCGGAUAAGCAACGCACUUAGUCAGUAAAAUGCCUCGCCCGCGUAAUAUAGUAGCGUACCAGAAAUAACCCCCCCACGUCUAUUUGCCAGCAGCGUCGACUUAUAUGGAGCCGCCCCAUCAUGCAUAGAUAUCUUCUGUGCUAGCCGCCUCCGUGCGCUAGUGUAUAGCAUUGGUUAGAUCCACUCCCAUAACACACGACUGCCUGUACAUGCCCGGGCCCGUAUUCACUGCAGCGUGCUGAUAUUGGUACUAGCGAUUCCAACUGCAUGCACUCGAGACGCAGAGCGCAAUCCCGAACCGAGAAGGCUCUUUCCAGAUUAGCCCGACCUCGCGGACUCGGGUUUAAUAGAUGUUUUUUUUCAGCUCAGAACGAACGCUGGCGGCAGGCUUAACACAUGCAAGUCGAGCGCCCCGCAAGGGGAGCGGCAGACGGGUGAGUAACGCGUGGGAAUCUACCCAUCCCUACGGAACAACUCCGGGAAACUUGUGCUAAUACCGUAUAAGCCCUUCGGGGGAAAGAUUUAUCGGGGAUGGAUGAGCCCGCGUUGGAUUAGCUAGUUGGUGGGGUAAAGGCCUACCAAGGCGACGAUCCAUAGCUGGUCUGAGAGGAUGAUCAGCCACAUUGGGACUGAGACACGGCCCAAACUCCUACGGGAGGCAGCAGUGGGGAAUAUUGGACAAUGGGCGCAAGCCUGAUCCAGCCAUGCCGCGUGAGUGAUGAAGGCCUUAGGGUUGUAAAGCUCUUUCACCGGAGAAGAUAAUGACGGUAUCCGGAGAAGAAGCCCCGGCUAACUUCGUGCCAGCAGCCGCGGUAAUACGAAGGGGGCUAGCGUUGUUCGGAAUUACUGGGCGUAAAGCGCACGUAGGCGGAUAUUUAAGUCAGGGGUGAAAUCCCAGAGCUCAACCCCGGAACUGCCUUUGAUACUGGGUAUCUUGAGUAUGGAAGAGGUAAGUGGAAUUGCGAGUGUAGAGGUGAAAUUCGUAGAUAUUCGCAGGAACACCAGUGGCGAAGGCGGCUCACUGGUCCAUUACUGACGCUGAGUGCGAACGAAUUAA
RNAcentral lists this ribosomal RNA (1189 nucleotides) under Rhizobium sp. OS1. RNAcentral's name for it is "bacterial SSU rRNA". The stretch from base 474 to 1189 matches the Rfam family "Bacterial small subunit ribosomal RNA", at positions 1 to 765 of the family's 1533-position model. The record is from RNAcentral. Lineage: Bacteria; Pseudomonadati; Pseudomonadota; Alphaproteobacteria; Hyphomicrobiales; Rhizobiaceae.